Long non-coding RNA from Alosa sapidissima (American shad), 436 nucleotides. RefSeq lists it as uncharacterized. NCBI's taxonomy places the organism in Eukaryota, Metazoa, Chordata, Actinopteri, Clupeiformes, Clupeidae. The record is from RefSeq and is a predicted model, not a curated record. The transcript has 2 exons.
ACAGUCUGAGAAGUACUGCCAUGCAGCUGCUUUCAACAGCGGGGAUGCCCGCAAGGGAAAUAAUGAUGGUCACCGGGCACAGAUGCGAGACAAGUCUGAAAAGCUACUGGGCUCCGACAACCUCUGACAGGGAGAAAUGGAGCCAGAUCCUUUCAGGUGUGCCUGGAAUUAACCCUGUAAGCUGCAAUCGAGGAGAAGCUGCAUCAAGCCAAGAAAUGAAUGGGGGUUUGAGUGCGAACUAUCCCCCAGAUGUACCAUUUAUCCUCUCCAAUUGUACGUUCAACGGGAAUGUCCAAUUCAACCUCAAGUAGCCUAGCCCUGGCGGUACUAGAAAUCCAAGGCGUUGCCAAGCAACGUCUAAACUUCUGAAGAACUAUUUUCUCUUAUUUUUUUCUCUUUUCACAAAAUCGCAAUAAAUCAUUCGGACCUCAUAAAA